Molecule: long non-coding RNA, 802 nt
Organism: Poeciliopsis prolifica (blackstripe livebearer)
Lineage: Eukaryota; Metazoa; Chordata; Actinopteri; Cyprinodontiformes; Poeciliidae
Exons: 2
Source: RefSeq, a predicted model, not a curated record
CGCUGACUGAUCUCCGAAGGUGAGCGUGUCGCCGUCUGACAGCUCCCACAGGACGCCCGGCUGCAGCAGGACUUCGUUCACCCAGGAUGGAAACUGUUUGAAGUCAAACCAACAGUGAGCAACAGUUCUGCGGUUCCAGAUUCUCUGUCACCUGGAGCCAGAAAUCCACAAAACUUUUUAAUAUUCCAGCAUCUGACAAAAGGAGGAAAUAACGGAACGAGCAGAGCCUGGAAAAUAAAGCCGUUUGUUGACUGGAUGUGUUUACAGCUCGGAGACUUUGAGGGAAAUGUAAAACAGGCUGUGAAAUGGAAGCAGAAAUGAAAAGCUGGAAGGCUACAAGCCAAUCAAACGGCCGUGACAGCAGGAGAAAUGUGGCGGGAAUACUAAAACACCAGGCUGACGGCGAAAAGUCGAAAUGUGGGGAAACGGACUGUGAAAUUACCAGACAAAUUAGACAAUAAGGCGCAGUUUAGAUGCAGAGUCCAUCAGUCACAGUCCAGCAGGCCCAGGGCCAGACUUUACCUCCAGAUUUCCCUUUACAAACACCUGAGACAGCAGCAGAACCACCUGAACACGGAUCCGAACAGGAGGCAUUCCUCUGCUCCGGGCAGCAAUCGGCUCCACUGAAACAUCUUAUUAUUGGUCCUACAUGUACGAAGAUGUUCGUGUCAAAUUUAUUUAUUGUUUUUUCAGAUGCAGCUUUGCAUUCAGUUUGAAUCAAACAGAAAAAUGUUUGAUUUAUUUUCUCUCUUGGAAUAAACCGACCCGUCACUCUCUGCUGCUCAAACGGCUCACAUUUAAA